GAUGAACGCUGGCGGCGUGCUUAACACAUGCAAGUCGAACGAUGAAGCCCAGCUUGCUGGGUGGAUUAGUGGCGAACGGGUGAGUAACACGUGAGUAACAUGCCCUUUACUCUGGGAUAAGCCUGGGAAACUGGGUCUAAUACCGGAUAGGAGCGUCCACCGCAUGGUGGGUGUUGGAAAGAUUUAUCGGUUUUGGAUGGACUCGCGGCCUAUCAGCUUGUUUGUGAGGGAAUGGCUCACCAAGGCGACGACGGGUAGCCGGCCUGAGAGGGUGACCGGCCACACUGGGACUGAGACACGGCCCAGACUCCUACGGGAGGCAGCAGUGGGGAAUAUUGCACAAUGGGCGCAAGCCUGAUGCAGCGACGCCGCGUGAGGGAUGACGGCCUUCGGGUUGUAAACCUCUUUCAGUAGGGAAGAAGCGAAAGUGACGGUACCUGCAGAAGAAGCACCGGCUAACUACGUG
RNAcentral lists this ribosomal RNA (466 nucleotides) under uncultured bacterium. RNAcentral describes it as "partial 16S ribosomal RNA". It matches the Rfam family "Bacterial small subunit ribosomal RNA", at positions 28 to 507 of the family's 1533-position model. The record is from RNAcentral.